GUAAUUUAACCGUGCGAAGGUAGCAUAAUCAGUAGUCCUUUAAUUGGGGGCUGGAAUGAAUGGUUGGACAAAGGGUUAUCUGUCUCUUUUGUACCGUUUCUAACUUUACUUUUAAGUGAAAAGGCUUAAAUAUUCUUGGGGGACGAUAAGACCCUAUAAAACUUUACAGUUUGAUUUAUACUUUUUGAAUUAUAGUGUUAUAUUAAUUAUAAACAUCCUGUUGUGUUGGGGCGACAAAGAUAUAAACGAGUAACUGUCAAAUGUAUUAAAUAAUUAUAAUUAGAUAAUUGAUCCUCUAUUAGGGAUUAGAAGACUAAGUUACUUUAGGGAUAACAGCGUGAUUUUCUCUGAGAGUCCUUAUCGACGAGAGUAGUUACGACCUCGAUGUUGAAUUAAGAUUUCUUUUAAAUGUAGCAGUUUAAAAAGUAGGUCUGUUCGACCUUUAAAAUCUU
This 452-nucleotide ribosomal RNA is filed under the name Plesionika martia. RNAcentral describes it as "partial 16S ribosomal RNA". It matches the Rfam family "Bacterial large subunit ribosomal RNA", at positions 1936 to 2597 of the family's 2925-position model. The record is from RNAcentral. Lineage: Eukaryota; Metazoa; Arthropoda; Malacostraca; Decapoda; Pandalidae.